This is a long non-coding RNA of Betta splendens (Siamese fighting fish), 8998 nucleotides long. RefSeq lists it as uncharacterized. The record is from RefSeq and is a predicted model, not a curated record. The transcript has 5 exons. NCBI's taxonomy places the organism in Eukaryota, Metazoa, Chordata, Actinopteri, Anabantiformes, Osphronemidae.
CACAGUGACUGGAUAUCCGGCUGACUGUGAAUAUAAAUAAACAUGUGACACAGUGGCUCUCGUCAUGUCGCUCUUUUUCUUCUUCAAGGGCAAUUCGGCGCGUGUCCCUGGGUGUGUGAUUGCUGUUGUUGCUGCUACUCCUGUCCGCUGUGGCUUCAGGUCGGCGUCAUUGACCCGAUUGAUAUACGGAAUUACCAGCUGCAGGUAGGACGGCGCUUUGUCGUUAAUGAUUUCCGAGGCAACGCAAAGUGUUGUUGUGUUUUUGUCGCUGGAGGCUGCUGGGCCCACGACGCUAUUUAGCGUUGCUAUGGAGACGACGCCGAUGCAGUGAUUAGUAUAUGUCUUGGAGAGCUUAGCUGCUCUUGACAACAUCUGCAUUCUCAUGCCCAACAGGUUCUUACCAAUGGCUUUGUUUUCGUACCACGUCACGUCGCUAGUGCAGCAAUGAUCCCUUGGCCGCUGAAAAAACGCCCUGCAGAGCGGGUUCCGUUUGGACAUGUACCGAACAAAGCUGGCGUAAGGACAUUGAUCUGUGCCUGUCUCAUACAUCCGUGGCAAAGUGUCCUCGUCUGCGUCCGGACGCUUUUUGCUCAAGGCGCCGCAGCGGGACUUCUGGUACGGUCCAAGACUUUUAAAAUAGACAAACUUCCUCCUGUCCUCGUCCACAGCCAGGCCGAACGAGUCAUCCUCCAGCUCCCGUUGGUUCUCGCGGCCUCUAGUGCAAAAAUACAUACAGGUCUCGAACCAAACCUUGUUGAGGAGCCCGAAUGGUGUGUCGGUGUUGAACACAGAGGACUCAUAGAGUUUCCGCAGGUCCGAGUGUGUAAUUGCUUGUUUCUGCACCACGGGACCGGCGCCUUGCUCCUCCAGCCUUCGUAUGACUGCGGCAAGCGUCAGGUUGGCACUGCGCAGCUCGGGGUCUUUGGUGAGGUCCAAAGUGCGACAGUAGGGCGGCUCGUUAAGGUACCGAUUCAGCGAGCUCCGGAUGCUGAUAAGAGACGACUUGCUGUAUAAAUGUCCACUCUUUGAGCGCGCCUCUCCGUAAAAGGAGCGCAGCACCUCGCAGAGUGCAGCCUUGUCCAGAGUUUCAAAGUCUGGGCUUCGAGCUGUCUCACACAGUUGAGAAUCCAGCCCAGCGGGAAUGCUGCUGUUAAAGGGGUCCGCCUCUCGCGCUUGUUCCCCGCGGUCCGUACGCCGCACAACGACGGCUCCUGUAUGCUCGACCGAACCACUGUAGUCUAAAACUACGCUCCCUGACACCAGUUCCAGCUCCACGCCUUUGCCAUCGGACUCUUCGUUCUCCACUUCCCCGGUGAUCUGGACCUCUUGGAUGUCACCUUCAUCUUCCUUCUCGUCAUCCUUGCGCUUCAUGGGGCAGCUCUUUGGCUCCUGUUCAGUGUCUCCGCUGCCAGGGAUUUUCGCCAUAUUGCGAAAUUGGCGUCUACGAACAGGAUCCUGCGGCAGGUCGUCUGGAUGGCGUGAUCAGGGACGAUGGUCCUCCAAACCUCUACAGCUGUUCUGAGUGGGAGGACUGCUCACCCGUCUGGAUCGCCUCUGACGAGAUCCAACGAACUCAAAAUCCAACCUUUAUUCGGCCCGAUACUGGUUGAAACAACAGGAGAGGCUUCAGACGUGAUCGGCCCAAAAGAGCUGCAUUCGAGGAUCCAGGAAAGGUCUGUCAUCGAGGAACAACUGUCCCAUCUACGUCAGGCUCCACCCACUGGCGCUCACAUCAGACUGAUGGUUGGGGAAGGAGGAAGGUGACGGUUCCUUUUUCACGUGACGUAGAAAACAGUACCGCAAACACACACGCAAACAUUCAUACACGCAAUGAAGAAACACCCUUAGGGCUGAUACACGCUCAAAUUCAUGUUCAUGCUUAUCUGCUUGCAAUGAAGAAUCGCUUUUUGCUCAAAACAUCCCAGAGUGAUUUUAAAAUGAUGACAAACAGCUAAAUGACAACUGCUGCAUGACUUUACAGUCUGAUGGGUUUAAACUAUUUCAAUUUGCAACAAAUUCAGUAAUAAAAUCCAUGUUUCUAAAAAGAUUUGUGCACAAUAUAAGUUUGUCUGGCCAGACUGUAGAAAACAAAACAGACUGUAGAAAAAAAAACAGACUAUAGGAAGACUGAAACUGACUGAAAAAGACUAUUAAAGGGAAGACGACUAUUAGAGAGAAGUAAUAAUAAUUACUGUACGUACCAGACUAUAAAAGGAAAAACUUAUUCUUUCACCGUCUUGUGCAACAUCUGACAGCAAGACACAAAGAUUUAUUGUUGCUUUCAAACUUAUGCCCAGUUAAAUUUUUAGGAAGAGAUCUCAUGUGUAGUUUAGGUAUUUGAUUGAUUUCCACUCCAGACGGGGUGCAGGUUACAUCUACAGACAUUCCAAAUAAUCCCUCUUUUGUUGCUGUUAACUUCAGCUCAGCUGUACUCUUAUCAGUGGCUGUGGAGGGGGGGCUGUAACUGAGGCCCUCACACAGGCUGCAUCACAGCUUGUUUCCAUGUGAUACGACCUCUAGAGACGCAUCUGACCUGUCCUGUACAGCACAUGUGUCUUCUGGUCCUGAUGAGAGGUUUGAAGAGUUAUGAUUUCACACACACACUGACAAACUGACCUCAACUUUCCUCUUCUGGGAUGAACACAGGUCUGCGCUUGCGAUUUCUUUUACUAACGAACAAAACGAUUUUUAUUUUUAUUCUACAGUUCCACACGUCCCUCUGUGAAAACAUGAUGGAGACAGAUGACAGGACGUGGAUCCUUUUGUGAACAGAUGUCAACGGGGUGGAGACUGGUGAACAACGUCUGACCUCAUGUGACGUAUUUACCCACAAUACAUGCUUUUGUUUUUGUUUUUAUUUUUAUUUUAUCAGAGGAUGCUCUGAGCCAACACUCAGCCUUACAGGAAGCCCCUGCUUCCCUGUGACUCACACACAGAUAUGAUGUAGGUUUGAUCAGAGGAUGUGAACCAGUGGUCAUCACACCUAAAUCUGACCACAGACCAUGUAAACAACAACACCCUCUUAAAAGAAGUCAUAGAUGGUGUUACUGCAGACACCACUAAGCUACUGAAACAUUGGAUGCUACAGGCCACAAAGAGAGCCUAACUAAAUUACAGUUUGUUCAGACUAAGGUUAUUUUCUGGGUCAUUGUUGGGUGAGAUGGAUUUGCCAUCAGCUGUAAUUACAGAGUUGAAGCAAUUUGAAACCUGCCAAAACCGUGCACAUAUAAACAGCUUAUCUUUUCUAGGUUUUUGUUCUUGUCAUAGGAACUUCAUUCCUAACUUUACUGUCUUUGAGGCCCCACUCGGGGUUCUGAUGCAGACGUCUUCAUCGUCCACUUCUUGUCUCACGUGGAUGUCAGAGAUUGAACAACGUUCACUGACCUCAUGCUUGCUCUUUAGGCUCCUACUUUGGGUCUUCCUGAUCUGACCCUACGCGACCUUUCACUCAAACAGUGGAUGAGAAAUCAGAUUGUACGACUUCUGUUCUAUUGUCCUCAUACUGUGUCUUUGAUUCUUUUGAAAAACAUCACAUCUUUCUACAGCUCAAUGGCUUAGAUACAACACCACCUUGCUCAACAUGCUGAACGUUACUAUCAAGAGGCCGUCUUGAAGUCUAGUGCUUUGCUAAGACACUACUCUACUCAGGCUGCAGAGUUUAUCGCGUUGACUAAAGCUGGUUAACUAAAAGUCUGUUACCAUCUACACAGACUCCACAUAUGCUCUGUGGAAGCAUAGGAAGCUUUUGAAGUCUAAUUGCGAACCUAUCUCUCUCUCAUCGUGAAUAGGUUCCCGCUUUGCUGGACGCUGUCCUGCUGCCUACAGCUAAUGCUGUUUUUAACUGUCCGACUUACACCUUCAGUAACAAUUUUAUUUCUACCGACAUGCAGCUGCAGACGCUGCUGCGAAGGUUGCUGCCCAACAACCCCUCCCUCUCCUCGUUUCCUCUCUACCUCUCCUUCCUCAUCUCUCUCUCUCUCCCUGUGCUUUAAACAUUUUCUACCUCACAGGAACGCAGACUCUGGCUGACGAAUGGUUCCACCAGUAGCCAUGGAGUCUGGUUUGGGCCUGAUGGCAAACUGUGCUGCCCAAACACUUUUUCCCCACAAUUCAGAUUUCCCAACAGAUGAAAACAGGCGACAGGACCAUUACACCAUCCAACCAGGGGACUGGGCGAUCGUUAAGGAGUUCAGGAGGAAGCACUGGAACUCCAAACGGUGGCGAGGCCCCUUCCACGUCCUUCUGACGACCCACACGACUGUGAAGGUCAAAGAGAGAGCAACUUGGAUCCACUCCAUCUACUGCAGGAAGUUUCCCGGAUCCAACAGACGACCCUCCAUUUACAUCCCACGGAGAAAACCACCACUAACUAAAAGAACUGAGAAGGACGACCCUCGCUGUGCUCACACACGCACUGAGGCGAGGCUGCGUUGACCGUUCAGCUAAAGGUGUGAGCCAAGUGCCGCCUUAAGCUGCGCCGGUGAAUCACACUAUCAGACCAUACAUUUACGCACACGCUCCUGAGAAAACACACACACGAGCAGCCUUGAGUUGCCGACGCUGGACGACGUGUAGACUCUUCACAUCACGGGAGUGACAGUGACUCAGACGACAUUGGAAGGAAACCUGGCAGUGAUAACAAAUCCCAAGUGUCUCUGUGAUGAGCUGAUCACAACCUGAAGAACCCCAACAAACUGUCAAUACAUUAACACACAGGUUGGAAACAAUCUAACACACUCAACUCAACAGGAUGAAGCAGAUUGUUACGAGACAUCAGUUGUAACCUUGUUUUGUUAGACUUCAUCUUAUGUUACUUGGAUUGUUGCCUUUAUCAUAUGAUGUUUCUAUGUAACUUUACACACUACUUUUGAAUGAGAAAAUUUUACAUAAUUCACAACACUGGGUUUAAAUAUCCUAAAGUUGAUUUGGUGUUUAAUUUGCUCACAAUCACUUUGUCAUCUGUAGAUGAAGGAUAAAAAGUAAUUAUAGCAGUGACUAGAGGUUAUGAGACAAAACGCAUCGUCAUUCUGGUUAAAUCCCUGAAUCUCCUAUUCGCUUUAGACGCAAAUGUACAAUUAAAGAUCCGAAAGCAUGAAAUCUAUCUUAGGAUUAUAUAAAACAGAACCCCACCGGAAACCUAUGGCUAUCAUACAUUAAUUGUCUUUAUUACAUUACAGUUGAAUGGCCGUAGACACGUUGUUAGCAGAGAAAAGAGGCGUUUGUGUUAUGUUUGGAGAGGCAUGUUGUACUUACAUCCUGAAUAACACUGAUUCUAAUGGUAUUGUGGCGAAGGCGCUCCACGGCCUUCAGAGUCUCAGCUAACUCUGGUAUAGGUUCUUUCCCUUGGAAUUGGCUAGACGAAAUGUCUGGAAAAUGGAAAUCUGUUCUCAUGUCCGCAGCUGUUUCCUUUAUCAUUGAGAUAGCUUUGAUUGUCUUGUCUGGUUUUUGCGUUAUCCCACUGGUUAGAGGUCUCAUCAUGCGUGUGACCUCAGCAACACUCUCAUAUCAAAUGACACAAUGCACUAUGUUCAAAAACCCCAACUCUAACUCACUUAAUGACUUUGACGAUGGUCUUAGGCUAUCGGAUCACAAAAUAUAAUCUGAUACAAAUAUGACUAUUGGCUUAUUUUCUUCACAUGCCAAUACAGAGGUUAUUCUUGUAUAACUACCCACCAAAAACAGCUCCCAACCUUUUGUCCCUAAGUUACUUGCAUCUAAUGUGAAGGUGUAUUUUAGAUCUUGAUGAGUUAAUACUCUCAUUGUUUCAUUUGCAAGGGUCUUUUUAUUAUUACAGAAUGCGAUGUUGACAAUUUUUUUUCUUUUAGUGUUUGAUUAAUGUGUAAUCAAAAGGGGGGAGUGUUAUGGGGAAAAUUGUUUCUUCCUUAUUUCUAUGCAGUUAUUAUAUAUGUUCUGCAAUUAAUAUCUUAUGUUUUGUCUUACUGUAUGCAUUUGACAUUUCACCUAGUUUGUUCAAUGGUUGUCUCUGCCUGAUAGACUCUCAACUCUAGCUCCCAAACCCAAGGUCGAGGAGUUGUGUCUCUGUCUGUUGAGAAUUGGUGCUCCUUUCUCACAGAUAGUUGGACGUCAGUGAUGCAGGUGUGAGAAUGUAAAUAUCUUCACACACACUGCGACAGGGAGGAGAUGGUGCAUGUAAUUUGAUUGGGUUAGAAAGACAUUCCACCCUAGUCGGACAGAGAAGCUAAAAGGCAGAAGCAACUUGAGGAUCGUGGGCUCUUUGCAUCACACUUUCGUGGUGUGUGCACUGAUCUCCCCAGCUUGUUUUUGGUUUGUUGAUGUGCAAGAUCAACAUCCAUGCUUUUGUUUGCUUUCCCCAUUAUUUUUAUUUUCCUUUUAUUUUUAUAAUAAAUUACACAAAAGACAACUUUCUCAUCUGCUUCUUUAUGGGGAAAUUUCCACCACACCUGCGUGAGCACCUGGUGUUAUCUUGUGAUAUAUAAAGUUCUGCUAUUCAUUGGGGGCAUGUAUUAAGUGUUACAUUUGUAUAAGACAUUGCAUUGUAUAAGACAAACCAUUGUUUUGUUAUCUGAAUUCAUGUGUGUGUGCUAAUGAAGUGAACCAAUGUAUAGUCUAGUAACUGUACAUCUGCAUCAUCUCUUUUCCAUAAAUGUGAAGGGAUCUGUUGUAAUUCAUCUUGAUUCACCUCAAGGUCAACAUAACAUAAUUCUGAUAUAUAGGGCUUUCCUCUAAGGUCGGCUGUGUCAGAGCUCUACGUCCACUUCCUGUUUUAGCGCAGUAGUUCCGGUUUUGUUGCAUCAUUCUGUCCUCGCUACCUUUUUAUUUCCGGUUUUAUUUUGUAAGCACUUACGUUUCUCGUCACGCCACAGCAGUUCCUGCUUUACUUCUGGUUUUCAGUUACGCAUCUGUGUCUCAUCUGUCAUUACUCACCAGGACAUUUAAACACCACCUGUUUCCUUAGUUCUCCGCCAGAUCGUUGUACUCCUACCGUCACUUUCCAGCAUUCUAUUGACAGCUUAGCUCGUGUUUGACCCUGCUCCGUAUUUUUUGACUUCUGAUUCUCGCCUGAUCCUGACCUGGUAUUGUACACUGUGAUUUCUGUUAUUCGACCCGUGCCUGUCCUCUGGAAGUGACCUAGCCUGCUCCUUCUGUGCCUAUGUCUUCAUGUUUUCAAGUGUAUAACCCGGACUGUUUUGAGACUACAAUUCCCGCAUUAAAGCCCUUUUAAUUACUUCCUCUGUCUGCUGCGUUUCGCAGUGCAUGCGGGUCCGAUCUCUACCAAGACCUGACAGGCUGUGGGCACAGUCUGGGUUGUCCAGUUCAGAGCUAUCCUCUUCCAGCCUGUUGUAGGGCUGUAUUGUUUUGCUGUGGUUGCCAGUCAUGCGCUCUGUUAACAACCUCAUCUGCGGCAUAGCCCACAUCAUUCCAGGUUUGAACCUUUGCUCAAAGAAACAUGAGGCACAUUUCUGUUACAGUAGACUCCUUCCUGUUUCUGGUUCAGUUCACAUGUCAAAAAGGCCACGUUUGUCUUCCAGCACAAACAUUUUAUUUUCAAAAAUGGUCCUACUUUUUCUUGCAACUGUUUAGCCUGAUACAUGGUCAUAUCUGUAUGUACUGCAAUGUAAAUUCUCUGGGUCCUGAUAAUGUCCACUAUAGACUCUACUUUUUGUCAUUCUCGCUAUUUCAUUACGUUUCUGUGGGUUCAUUCUUUAGGUCAAGGCUGUACCAGUAACAGGGUUCUCCCCUCUCAUAUAGUACAAAAUUAUGUGUUUGUCUGAUACGUUCAAUGAUCAGUCUCCCUUCUAUAGGGACUAUAGUCAACUUCAGUUUGGGAAUUGCGUCUCUCCCCAAUAAUUUUACUGGAGAAGAUGGGCUAUAUAAAUCAUGUACAAUAGCCUUAGUUCCUGUAACUGGAUCAAUCAAGGCAAAGGCUUCUGUUACUGCCAUGUCAAUGUCUCUGUUUGCUGAUUGCACCAUAACUUCACUUUUGCCUAAAUGUUGUUUGACUCAAAUGCCGUUUAACACUGUCUUAAUGGCUCCAGUGUCCACUAAAAACUUCUCUUUUUUUACCAAGGACGGUUAAAGUGACUUGAGGGUAGUCAUGCAUGUGAAACAGUCUUUCUGCCAAAUUUAUUUUUAAUUGUUCUUCAGUGAGUUCAUCAUUCCAAUCUGUCUCUUCUUUCUCUAUUUGGUGGGUUAGUCGUGUGUCACAUUUGCAGUCACGUGCCCAAUGUCCUGUCUCCCCACAUUGCCAACAAACAUUCUUAUUUCUCUAGAGUUUCUAUCUCGUCCACACCUAAAUGGUCAUCCACCACGUCUUCUAAACCUUUCUCUGCCACGUCCUCUCUGCUCUCUGUUAUCUUGCCAAUAACAUUCUUCAUUGUCUGCAACAAACGCUGUCGCUUUUACUUUGUCUUUGUUUUUCAUGAGUCUUUUAGCAUGCCUUGCAUGGUCCAAAAAUGUGUUCAAUGUGCAGUUGGGCAGGUAUACUAGACUCUUUUCUACCUUUUUCUUCAAGUCCAAUCUUAGAUCUCUGGUAGACAGCAUUUUUGUUGCUGAUUGUAAGGCCCAAUUUGGUCAUUGUUAGGUUGAAGACCACUAUGAACUUCAAACAGCAGGUAUUCUAUUGUCAAAGUAUUCAACAUUUUCAUUCUCUUUUUGGCAUGUGAAAUUAAUUUUUGCCCAGUGUGUUCUCUGGGGACACUGAGAUUUAUAUCUGUCAUAAAAACUUUGUAGUCAUGCCUUCAGGUCAGCAUUUCCAUAAGGCAAUAGAUCGUUUCGGUUAACUAAAGGAUUCCAAUCUCCUUUGAUCAAGAUCCACUUUCCUGCCACUAUUUGCCUAAUUACCUUGAUUGAUUCAAGUUCUUUUUCCUGGUGUUUAGUUUUUUCAGCUUUCUUCUUUUGUGUUCUGGUUUGCACUCCACUUCCUGUCCCUGUCUCUCCCCCCACUGCCCCUAACUCAUUAAGACCGGCGUAAAUUGACGUUUUUGGACCUACUGAAAUUAAAGAACAUUUUAUUUAA